RNAcentral lists this ribosomal RNA (504 nucleotides) under uncultured bacterium. RNAcentral's name for it is "bacterial SSU rRNA". It matches the Rfam family "Bacterial small subunit ribosomal RNA", at positions 8 to 526 of the family's 1533-position model. The record is from RNAcentral.
AGAGUUUGAUCCUGGCUCAGGACGAACGCUGGCGGCGUGCUUAACACAUGCAAGUCGUACGGUAAGGCCCUUUCGGGGGUACACGAGUGGCGAACGGGUGAGUAACACGUGAGUAACCUGCCCACAACUUUGGGAUAACGCUAGGAAACUGGUGCUAAUACUGGAUAUGUGCUCCUGCUGCAUGGUGGGGGUUGGAAAGCUCCGGCGGUUGUGGAUGGACUCGCGGCCUAUCAGCUUGUUGGUGGGGUAGUGGCCUACCAAGGCGGCGACGGGUAGCCGGCCUGAGAGGGUGACCGGCCACAUUGGGACUGAGAUACGGCCCAGACUCCUACGGGAGGCAGCAGUGGGGAAUAUUGCACAAUGGGCGCAAGCCUGAUGCAGCAACGCCGCGUGCGGGAUGACGGCCUUCGGGUUGUAAACCGCUUUCAGCAGGGACGAAGCUUUUUGUGACGGUACCUGCAGAAGAAGCACCGGCUAACUACGUGCCAGCCGCCGCGGUAAUAC